This 373-nucleotide ribosomal RNA is filed under the name uncultured organism. Its description in RNAcentral is "bacterial SSU rRNA". It matches the Rfam family "Bacterial small subunit ribosomal RNA", at positions 526 to 896 of the family's 1533-position model. The record is from RNAcentral.
CAGAGGUGGCAAGCGUUGUUCGGAAUUACUGGGCGUAAAGGGCGCGUAAGCGGCCAUCUAAGUCAGACGUGAAAUCCCCCGGCUUAACCUGGGAACUGCGUCUGAUACUGGACGGCUCGAGUAUGGGAGAGGGAUGUAGAAUUCCAGGUGUAGCGGUGAAAUGCGUAGAUAUCUGGAGGAAUACCGGUGGCGAAGGCGGCAUCCUGGACCAUUUACUGACGCUGAGGCGCGAAAGCUAGGGGAGCAAACGGGAUUAGAUACCCCGGUAGUCCUAGCCCUAAACGAUGAAUGCUUGGUGUGGCGGGUAUCGAUCCCUGCCGUGCCGAAGCUAACGCAUUAAGCAUUCCGCCUGGGGAGUACGGUCGCAAGGCUG